This 80-nucleotide transfer RNA is filed under the name Mustela putorius furo (domestic ferret). It matches the Rfam family "tRNA". From Rfam's summary of the family: Transfer RNA (tRNA) molecules are approximately 80 nucleotides in length. Their secondary structure includes four short double-helical elements and three loops (D, anti-codon, and T loops). The record is from Rfam by way of RNAcentral. Lineage: Eukaryota; Metazoa; Chordata; Mammalia; Carnivora; Mustelidae.
GGGGGUAUAGCUCAGUGGUAGAGCAUUUGACUGCAGAAAUGCAGAAUAAAUUUUUGUUAGUUCCUAUGUUAUUACCCUCU